RNAcentral lists this ribosomal RNA (1325 nucleotides) under metagenome. Its description in RNAcentral is "bacterial LSU rRNA". It matches the Rfam family "Bacterial large subunit ribosomal RNA", at positions 1561 to 2925 of the family's 2925-position model. The record is from RNAcentral.
AGUGGAUGGGGAGCAACCUAGUUGGGAGUGCGGAAAGGUAGUGCCAAGAAAAGCUGUCAGAAUGAUGAGAAUUGAGUCCCGGUACCCGAAACCGACACAGGUAGGCAAGUAGAGAAUACUAAGGGGCGCGAGGUAACUCUCUCCAAGGAACUCGGCAAAAUGACCCCGUAACUUAGGGAGAAGGGGUGCCACCGAGAGGUGGUCGCAGUGAAGAGGCCCAGGCGACUGUUUAGCAAAAACAUAGGUCUCUGCAAACUCGAAAGAGGAAGUAUAGGGGCUGACGCCUGCCCAGUGCCGGAAGGUUAAAGAAGUUGGUCAGGAGAAAUCUGAAGCUGGCGACUGAAGCCCCGGUGAACGGCGGCCGUAACUAUAACGGUCCUAAGGUAGCGAAAUUCCUUGUCGGGUAAGUUCCGACCCGCACGAAAGGCGUAACGAUCUGGGCGCUGUCUCGGAGAGAGGCUCGGCGAAAUAGGAUUGUCUGUGAAGAUACGGACUACCUGCAUUUGGACAGAAAGACCCUAUGAAGCUUUACUGUAGCUUGAAAUUGUGUUCGGGCUUCCUGUGCGCAGGAUAGGUGGGAGGCUAGGAAGGUCUGCUUGUGGGCAGAUUGGAGCCAACCGUGAGAUACCACUCUCAGGAGGCUAGAAUUCUAACUUAAUUAAGGACAGUUUCAGGUGGGCAGUUUGACUGGGGCGGUCGCCUCCAAAAAGGUAACGGAGGCGUACAAAGGUUCCCUCACACUGGUUGGAAAUCAGUGGCAGAGUGCAAAGGCAGAAGGGAGCUUGACUGCGAGACGGACAAGUCGAGCAGGGUGGAAACACGGUCUUAGUGAUCCGACGGUGCUGUGUGGAAGGGCCGUCGCUCAACGGAUAAAAGUUACUCUAGGAUAACAGGCUGAUCUCCCCCAAGAGUUCACAUCGACGGGGAGGUUUGGCACCUCGAUGUCGGCUCAUCGCAACCUGGGGCGGAAGUACGUCCCAAGGGUUGGGCUGUUCGCCCAUUAAAGCGGUACGUGAGCUGGGUUCAGAACGUCGUGAGACAGUCCGGUCCAUAUCCGAUGUAGGCGUGAGAAUAUUGAGAGGAGCCUUCCUUAGUACGAGAGGACCGGGAAGGACGCACCGCUGGUGUACCUGUUAUGAUGCCAAUCGUAAACGCAGGGUAGCCAAGUGCGGAGAGGAUAACCGCUGAAAGCAUCUAAGUGGGAAGCCCACCUCAAGAUGAGUAUUCUGGUGUAAGGUCACGGGGAGACGACCCGUAGAUAGGCACGAGGUGGAAGUGCAGAGAUGUAUGAAGCCGAAGUGUACUAAUAGACCGUCGGCUUGACC